AGUGAACGCUGGCGGUAGGCCUAACACAUGCAAGUCGAACGGCAGCACAGUAAGAGCUUGCUCUUACGGGUGGCGAGUGGCGGACGGGUGAGGAAUACAUCGGAAUCUACUUUUUCGUGGGGGAUAACGUAGGGAAACUUACGCUAAUACCGCAUACGACCUACGGGUGAAAGCAGGGGAUCUUCGGACCUUGCGCGAUUGAUUGAGCCGAUGUCGGAUUAGCUAGUUGGCGGGGUAAAGGCCCACCAAGGCGACGAUCCGUAGCUGGUCUGAGAGGAUGAUCAGCCACACUGGAACUGGGACACGGUCCAGACUCCUACGGGAGGCAGCAGUGGGGAAUAUUGGACAAUGGGCGCAAGCCUGAUCCAGCCAUACCGCGUGGGUGAAGAAGGCCUUCGGGUUGUAAAGCCCUUUUGUUGGGAAAGAAAAGCAGCAGGUUAAUACCCCGCUGUUCUGACGGUACCCAAAGAAUAAGCACCGGCUAACUUCGUG
RNAcentral lists this ribosomal RNA (492 nucleotides) under uncultured bacterium. Its description in RNAcentral is "partial 16S ribosomal RNA". It matches the Rfam family "Bacterial small subunit ribosomal RNA", at positions 29 to 507 of the family's 1533-position model. The record is from RNAcentral.